Molecule: ribosomal RNA, 173 nt
Filed under: uncultured bacterium
Lineage: Bacteria
Description: partial 16S ribosomal RNA
Rfam family: Bacterial small subunit ribosomal RNA
Source: RNAcentral
CCGGAAUUGCUAGUAAUGGCAGGUCAGCAUACUGCCGUGAAUACGUUCCCGGGCCUUGUACACACCGCCCGUCACACCAUGAGAGUUGGGAAUACCCGAAGCCUGUGAGCUAACGUAAGAGGCAGCAGUCGAAGGUAGAAUCAAUGAUUGGGGUGAAGUCGUAACAAGGUAUC